This is a non-coding RNA of Myodes glareolus (Bank vole), 460 nucleotides long. The record is from RefSeq and is a predicted model, not a curated record. Lineage: Eukaryota; Metazoa; Chordata; Mammalia; Rodentia; Cricetidae.
CCUUUCAUGAUCAUAAUGUACUGAAUCUCUGAAACUCAUGCCUGUCAGCUUGCAGCAGUGGCCCUCGGAAGUGAACCAACUCCUUCUGAGAUGGAACUUCCAUGGCUUCCGUUCCUAGCUGCACGCGUGUGGCAACCAGAUCACGCCACUUCCGCCAUCUGCACUCUGUGAAAGCUCACAAUGUCCAAACCAGGAAGCCCAGCUUGAUGCAGCAUGCCUGUAGCUCCCUGUCAUCACAUCUAUUUCUGACUUGCAAGAACCACUGUGCCUGCACUGCGCUCCAGCCCUGUGACUGCACCUGCUUCUUCAGCUGCUAUGCUGCUUCCCCAUCAGCUGCAACAACUGUGUUACCAGGGUUGAAUUUUUGAGAGAGUCUCAUAUCACUCGUAUCACCUGAGUUUUCCUUUUUUAAUAUUUCAUAUAUAUAUAUGUAUGUAUAUAAACUUUUUUCAUUUUUUGA